GACGAACGCUGGCGGCGUGCCUAAUACAUGCAAGUCGAACGCACUCUCGUUUAGAUUGAAGGAGCUUGCUCCUGAUUGAUAAACAUUUGAGUGAGUGGCGGACGGGUGAGUAACACGUGGGUAACCUGCCCUAAAGUGGGGGAUAACAUUUGGAAACAGAUGCUAAUACCGCAUAAAACCUAACACCGCAUGGUGUAGGGUUGAAAGAUGGUUUCGGCUAUCACUUUAGGAUGGACCCGCGGUGCAUUAGUUAGUUGGUGAGGUAAAGGCUCACCAAGACCGUGAUGCAUAGCCGACCUGAGAGGGUAAUCGGCCACACUGGGUCUGAGACACGGCCCAGACUCUACGGGAGGCAGCAGUAGGGAAUCUUCCACAAUGGACGAAAGUCUGAUGGAGCAACGCCGCGUGAGUGAAGAAGG
RNAcentral lists this ribosomal RNA (419 nucleotides) under uncultured bacterium. RNAcentral's name for it is "bacterial SSU rRNA". It matches the Rfam family "Bacterial small subunit ribosomal RNA", at positions 28 to 414 of the family's 1533-position model. The record is from RNAcentral.